RNAcentral lists this transfer RNA (95 nucleotides) under Candidatus Woesearchaeota archaeon. Its description in RNAcentral is "tRNA-Asp". It matches the Rfam family "tRNA". Rfam says of the family: Transfer RNA (tRNA) molecules are approximately 80 nucleotides in length. Their secondary structure includes four short double-helical elements and three loops (D, anti-codon, and T loops). Lineage: Archaea; Nanobdellati; Candidatus Woesearchaeota. The record is from RNAcentral.
GCCUUGGUAGUGUAGCGGCCUAUCAUGAAGCCCUGUCGAGUCAAUUUAUCUGACAUAGAAAGGCUUCGACCCGGGUUCAAAUCCCGGCCAGGGCG